Molecule: long non-coding RNA, 4945 nt
Filed under: Heterocephalus glaber (naked mole-rat)
Lineage: Eukaryota; Metazoa; Chordata; Mammalia; Rodentia; Bathyergidae
Description: lncRNA (ENSHGLG00000047438.1)
Source: RNAcentral
ACAAGGUUCUCCAGCUCCACUUUGGGAAAUUCAUUGAUCCUGCCUGGGGACAGAACAAGACUUGAGUUGCUCAUGAGUAGAAACAUGGGUUUCUUGCUCAGAAGAGGGAAUGUCACAGCACUCAAAAGAUCCCAGGCUGCCACUUCCAGUUUAGGAAACCUCCAGUCACAAGAUGGUAACUGAGGCGAAGGGGACCAAUACCUAACAAGCAAGACUGACCCCUAAAUUGCCAAUGGAGCACCUAGCCUAAAGACUGAAGCCAAAUCAGCUAAAUUUUCAGAAUCAAAGAUUCUGGCUGAUGUGUAUCAAGGAAGCCACUUUUCAUGGCAGACCUGAAGUCCUGAAACAUCCAUGAUGUCACCUUUCUCUACUGAUCUGCCUACCAGUACACGGCGGCGCGCUAUUAGCUCUGUAAUGUUUUAGCUUAAUUCUCCCACAUGUGGGCUGCAAUUCCAGCCAAAACAAACUCAGCAGGAGAUUUCACAGCCACUGAAUUGCUCAAGGUGCUCCAGGCUCCAUGACAUGGGGAGAUCAGGUUGGGAUGCAAAAGUUAUGAACAAAAAGAUAAACAGAAUGAAAAGGCAUGGGGUGGUGGGAUUUAGGGUUUGACUGGUGUGCAAAGCUUUCAGUUUUCCAAUUGGUAAUUUGAUUCUCUGGUUUGCCUUGGAGAUUUGCAGUGUUUUUCUGGCAUAUGUGAUGGAAGAAAGCACCCUGUUCCAUUCCGGGUAGUGAACCAUGGAGACCUUCUCAUUAAAUUACAAAGAAGAAUUUUAGGAUAUGAGAUCAUGAAAAAGAAUAGAAUUUGAAAACACACACAAACACAUAACUAGGCCAGCACAGGAAGAAUUUGUGGUGAAGCCAUUUUUCCCAUUGCAGAUAACUCUCUAAUCCUUUGGAUCCCAGAGUCCUGCACACACACGUGCACGUGCACACACAUGCACAUGUGCACACACACACACACAGUGUGAAGAGAAGGGUCUACAGCUGUCACUAUAAAGCCAGGCUGCACCAUAGGUUGAACCAAGAAGGUCUAGUGACAUUCAGUUAGUGAUCCUUACCUCUCAGUAUAUGAUCUUGAAGCUCUUCAUUUGAGAUCAUUCUGUCUAGCUCUUUUCUCCCUAUCACCCUCAUAACAUAACCCUCACCCCCAGGCCUUCAGAAUUGAAAAAACAAUAAGUCUGAGUAAUCACACCAUGAGACUAUUUAUGAUUAUUAGGGGGAAAGGAGGUGGGGAUUAAAGUGCUGUGCCAAUUAAAAGCAACAAUUCUUGCUGCUUCUCCCAAAUUCUUCACAAAAGUCAUAUGGAUGAUGGGACAUUUCUGAGUUUACCCCAGCCAAACUCUGAGAUGGAAAAGUAUUUGUUUUGUAUGGGCAAAGCUAUUUGUUCUUUUUUUCUUCUUUCUCUCUCUCCACUGUGGGAAAACGAAUUUAUUUUCAGUCACCCCUGACAUCUGACCACUCAGCUGAUCACAAGGACACUGUGGUAAGCCACAACUCAACUUGAAAUUAUCUCUUAGGCACAGUUCCUGUACUUUGGAUGGCACCAUCUCUAGCUCUCAGCUUGGCUUUCCUCUAUGAAGGUUCCAUUUUCCCCUUUCUUUUCUCUACUCAGAGUGAGUGGUCUUGCGCUUAUCUUCCAACCGGGCUUGUCCUCAAAACAAACUAAGCAUGAAAAUGACACCAGUUUUCCUAGUCAAAGCCUCAAAAGUGGCCCAUUUAUAUAUGGUAUCUUUCUUCUAAAACAAAAGGAAAAAGAAAACGAGAUGAAAUCUUUGGAAUCCUGCAAAGUAGGUGGGGGAGCCAACUCUCUUGAUUAGUCUCAAGAUGAUUCAGCAGGGUUUAUACAUAUUCCUUCUGUUUGAAUCAUUUUGUUUUUUGUAGCUGUUUUACACCUCCAGGAUCCUGCCAUCUGCCCACUCUAAAGAAAGACAGUAAAGCACUCCAAAUACAAUGGCUGGGAGGAAAAAAUUGUGAUCAAACUCAAGAGAUCAACUUUUCUUCACCCUUCUGGCUACUACUAUUCUUCCUGGAGAAAAGACAAUGUGGUGUGGCCCAGAGGUUCUUACUGUGGUGGGCUCACCUCUCAAUAAACCAUUCCUCUUCUGCCCUGUCAUGCCAUCAGGCUAAUGAGAGAGAACUUGGUGUACAGAUCUGUCUGCCCUCUUGGCUGAGGAAAGAAGAGAAGGGAUGUAGGCAGUGCCCUUGACAGUUAUAUCCUACUCAGAUCUGGUGUGUGUCACUGAAAUAUAGGUCAGCUUUUGCUGGACAACUCACAACAGCCUAGAAGCAUGUGGACCCCAGGCCAGGCCCAGUUCCUCCUGCUCACCCCAUACUCUCUUCCUGCCCAGUACAAGUUAACAAGCCCAACAAGCAUUGAGAGAGGCCUGCAGGACAGAAAAAAGCAGUCUUUCCAUUUUGCACACAAAUGUAAGGGAGCUCUAAAGUUAACAAAGGCUUCAUCAGUCCUGGGGUUGGUCCAAUGUGCGGGCUGAAGUUCAGCUGGCCUGACCAAAGGCAACUGCUAGCUAUUUGCACUUUCCGCAGGGACUGCUCCUCAACUCCUGAUUUAGAGAGUGGAGUGGACGGGUAAUGUGCAUGUAGUCACUGAGGACGAUUGGAGAAACAAAAUGAUUUUCAAUUACCAGGUGGUUCAGGUGGAGGCAGUGAGCAUAGAAAGUUUUCUUUCUGACAACAAAAUGAAGCGACAGCUGAAGAGCUUCUGGCCUUGAAGAGAGUUUAUCACUUUAAAGGGAUAUUGGCAAGUGCUUAGGGCUGAACACUAAGGUUUGGUUACUUCCCUUUCCCUCACAGUUCAUAGAGAGAUAAAGGUAUUAUAUGAAUUGGAUUUUUUCUUGUGAGUUAAAAAAACUGAUGCCCCUGAUUUGGGGUAACAAGCAUGGCCAAGUUAGUACUGAGCAGAGAGAAAGUACUAGUCUAAGGCUUUGCCUUUGCAGAAAUGCAAAAAAAAUGCUCACAAAAAAACAUGUUCUAUUGAUUGUCCAAGGGUACCAAACUAUGCAUUCUCAAAAUGGAACUGAAGACUUCCAGGUUUCAGUAUCUAAUUGUCUUCUGACUAAAACAAUGAAAACAAAGUGGAAGAGCAGAGGAUGUUGUUUCAGGUAGAGUUUAGAAAGCAAGCAGAACUUCAAGGAGAACCUGAUUGUCUUUACUUAGGCUGAAUGCCUUGGCAAUAAUCUUAUAAAUGAGUUUAUCAUUUUUUCCCCACCAUAUAAGUUAAACUUAGUGAGUAUCUGUUAUGUCCCUGGCACUGUGCAAAGCCUUUUUUUACACAUUAUAUAAUUUAGCCCCUCCUAAGAACCUUAGAGGGUAGGUGUUGUUACCACUAUUUUACUUAUGAGACCUAAAAGAUUUUGUUUGAGGAGUAAGUUAGAACUGGAAUUCAAACUCAGCUUUCCUGACUCCCUUUUAAGUUUCACAACCAUUCAGCUGCCUUUUAUAAGUAGCAUUUUAUUUUAUAUAUUCAUACAAUUGUAAAGUAUAAGAAAAGCUAUAUGCUAAAACAAAAGUUUCUUUAAAUUACCUACUUACAAUGUUUUGCCCACACUUGAAGGCUAUAAAAUGUAUCUGGAUUGGUCAUAAAAUAUUAUCCACCAUCUAAUGAAAUAGUACAUGUGUUCAUGAGUAAACUCUCUAUAAGAAAGACAUAUAACUGGAUUAAAGUAUGACCUAGUACUUAAAAUGCAUUAGAAUUUCCAAACAUAAAAUUAUCUGGGCUUUGUAAGGAGAAAAUAUUGGCUUCAAAACUCAGAAAGUUAGAGAUAUUAACAAAUAGAUGAUUCAACGCUAAAUGCACAUUGACAAGGCAAGAAGAGAGAAGUUACUUCAGUCAGCUUCUUAACUGUAGGGGUUGGAUGCCAACAUUUCUUCAAACAGAGGAAAAGGUCAUAGUGUUAUCUUUUCUCUCUUUUUUUGCCUUUUCUGUUUGAAAAAGGAAAGAUUGGAGGUUAAGAGAAAUAAGGUAAAAGAUUUAGGACUAUAGAGAUGAAAAAGGUACUGCACUGUUCCACAAGGAUCCCAUGGUCUAGGAAGAGAAGCAGACAUAGACCCAAAACAAGAUGAGCAAUGAAAGAACAGGAAUAUUUGAGGCCCAAAACAGAGUACAGAAGGAAGUGAUUACCCAGAGAGACAGUAAGAAGGAAAGGGCCAGGAAAACUCUCCAAAAGGAGGAAAACUUGAAUUUAAAAACUGACCAAACGACUAAUGGAAGAAAUGAAGUCUAUACAAAAUCACAGAACAUAAAAUGGGCUGACAUUUUGGGGCCUAAGAGGAAUCUGAUAUAUUGGAGGACAGCAGGAAGGAACGCAUGUAGAGAAAUGAACUAGUGAAGUCCUGAAGAGUUAGAGCUCACAUGUAGUGUGGAGCCACUGACCAGUUUUAAAAGUAGAUUUGAGUUUCCAAAAAUUACUCUUGCUGUCAAUCAUGAAUAGUUGGUAAUCUGAUUGACGAAAGGAAAGCUGGUUGUUUCAAAAAAGUCAUUGAAUAGACAAACUCUUGGCAUGAUUGAUGCUUUUAAGAGGCAGAAAUAAACAGCACAGGUAGAAAAAGUGACAUUGAAACAGACAAAGUAAAUAUUUUAAAAUUACAGGAGAGUCACAUGCACAAUAUUAGGACAAUAUAUUUGAAAUUUUCACCACAUUGAACAAUUUUUAGAAAGCAUAAAUAUGGAUAUUAACUGAAGAAAAAAUAUUGACAAUGAGAAGUAUGCUACAAAGUAAUACUAGCUCCAGAAGAUUUUGCAGACAAUUUUUUUCCAAAAAUUGUCUUUCCAAAGGAAAGAAAUAUUAAUCCUUAAUAUCACAGGGAAUAGAAAAGUGUUUUACAAGUAUUUACAGACCAUUGUAAUCCUGAUGCCAGAGCCAGGUGACAAUCAAUCUUACAUAUGGACAGAGAUGCAAAAAUACCAAAUAUUAGAAAGUUACUGUGU